CCUACGGGAGGCAGCAGUGAGGAAUAUUGGUCAAUGGACGAGAGUCUGAACCAGCCACGUAGCGUGAAGGAUGACUGCCCUAUGGGUUGUAAACUUCUUUUAUAUGGGAAUAAAAUGUUCCACGUGUGGGAUUUUGUAUGUACCAUAUGAAUAAGGAUCGGCUAACUCCGGGCCAGCAGCCGCGGUAAUACGGAGGAUCCGAGCGUUAUCCGGAUUUAUUGGGUUUAAAGGGAGCGUAGGUGGAUUGUUAAGUCAGUUGUGAAAGUUUGCGGCUCAACCGUAAAAUUGCAGUUGAAACUGGCAGUCUGGAGUACAGUAGAGGUGGGCGGAAUUCGUGGUGUAGCGGUGAAAUGCUUAGAUAUCACGAAGAACUCCGAUUGCGAAGGCAGCUCACUGGACUGCAACUGACACUGAGGCUCGAAAGUGUGGGUAUCAAACAGGAUUAGAUACCCCAGUAGUC
Molecule: ribosomal RNA, 460 nt
Filed under: uncultured bacterium
Lineage: Bacteria
Description: partial 16S ribosomal RNA
Rfam family: Bacterial small subunit ribosomal RNA
Source: RNAcentral